RNAcentral lists this ribosomal RNA (390 nucleotides) under Eukaryota sp. RNAcentral describes it as "SSU rRNA". It matches the Rfam family "Eukaryotic small subunit ribosomal RNA", at positions 828 to 1215 of the family's 1831-position model. The record is from RNAcentral.
CUGGCAUCCUAUUUUGUUGGUUUCUAGGGUACCGGUAAUGAUCAAUUGGGAUAGUUGGGGGCAUUCAUAUUCAAUUGUCAGAGGUGAAAUUCUUGGAUUUAUUGAAGAUGAACUAGUGCGAAAGCAUUUGCCAAGGAUGUUUUCGUAGGUCAAGAACGAAAGUAGCGGGAUCGAAGACGAUCAGAUACCGUCGUAGUCUCUACCGUAAACGAUGCCGACUAGGGAUUGGCGGACGUUAUUCUUUGAUGACUCCGUCAGCACCUUCCGAGAAAUCAAAGUUUUUGGGUUCCGGGGGGAGUAUGGUCGCAAGGCUGAAACUUAAAGGAAUUGACGGAAGGGCACCACCAGGAGUGGAGCCUGCGGCUUAAUUUGACUCAACACGGGGAAACU